This 270-nucleotide ribosomal RNA is filed under the name uncultured prokaryote. RNAcentral's name for it is "partial 16S ribosomal RNA". It matches the Rfam family "Bacterial small subunit ribosomal RNA", at positions 524 to 792 of the family's 1533-position model. The record is from RNAcentral.
GACGUAGGGGGCGAGCGUUGUCCGGAUUCAUUGGGCGUAAAGAGCUCGUAGGCGGCUCAGUAAGUCGGCCGUGAAAACCCGGAGCUCAACUCCGGGACGCCGGUCGAUACUGCUGUGGCUAGGGUCCGGUAGAGGAGAGUGGAAUUCCCGGUGUAGCGGUGAAAUGCGCAGAUAUCGGGAGGAACACCAGUAGCGAAGGCGGCUCUCUGGGCCGGUACCGACGCUGAGGAGCGAAAGCUAGGGGAGCAAACAGGAUUAGAUACCCGCGUA